RNAcentral lists this ribosomal RNA (468 nucleotides) under uncultured bacterium. RNAcentral's name for it is "partial 16S ribosomal RNA". It matches the Rfam family "Bacterial small subunit ribosomal RNA", at positions 28 to 507 of the family's 1533-position model. The record is from RNAcentral.
GACGAACGCUGGCGGCGUGCUUAACACAUGCAAGUCGAACGGAAAGGCCCUGCUUUUGUGGGGUGCUCGAGUGGCGAACGGGUGAGUAACACGUGAGUAACCUGCCCUUGACUUUGGGAUAACUUCAGGAAACUGGGGCUAAUACCGGAUAGGAGCUCCUGCUGCAUGGUGGGGGUUGGAAAGUUUCGGCGGUUGGGGAUGGACUCGCGGCUUAUCAGCUUGUUGGUGGGGUAGUGGCUUACCAAGGCUUUGACUGGUAGCCGGCCUGGGAGGGUGACCGGCCACAUUAGGACUGAGAUACGGACCAGACUCCUACGGGAGGCAGCAGUGGAAAAUAUUACACAAUGGGCGGAAGCCUGAUACAGCGACGCCGCGUGCGGAAUGACGGCCUUCGGGUUAUAAACCGCUUUCGCCUUUGACGAAGCGUUAGUGACGGUAAUGGAUAAAGAAGCACCGGCUAACUACGUG